Molecule: ribosomal RNA, 255 nt
Filed under: uncultured bacterium
Lineage: Bacteria
Description: partial 16S ribosomal RNA
Rfam family: Bacterial small subunit ribosomal RNA
Source: RNAcentral
UACAGGGGGGGCAAGGCUUGUUUCGGGAAUUACUGGGCGUAAAGGGCCAGUAGGCGCCAACUAAGUCCGACUGAAAUCCCAGACCUUAACUUGGGAACUGCGUCGGAUACUGGAUGGCUUGAAUUCGGGAGAGGGAUGCAGAAUUCCAGGUGUAGCGGUGAAAUGCGCAGAUAUCAGGGAGGAACACCGGUGGCGGAAGGCGGGUCUCUGGACCGAUACUGACACUGAGGAGCGAAAGCGUGGGGAGCGAACAGG